Molecule: long non-coding RNA, 5424 nt
Filed under: Prunus persica (peach)
Lineage: Eukaryota; Viridiplantae; Streptophyta; Magnoliopsida; Rosales; Rosaceae
Description: long non-coding RNA (PPER_LNC003954)
Source: RNAcentral
ACUGUUGUCCCUUGGAAGCUUCAGAGGACCAUAUUGAGCCUUUGAUUGAGUGGAAGGGAAACGAUGAUGCUACUGUUACUUGUGCUCCGAAAGAAAUGGGUGGCUGUGGUGAUUGCAUGUUGGAUCUUAAGCGAAUCCUUCCACCUGACUGGAUCUCAAAUUUAGGAGUCAAAGCAAAACAUUUAUUAGAGAUUUUCCGAACAGAACAUUCUACUUUCAAGCGUGAUUGUGCUGAAAGAAGAAGGGAUACGUUACUAAAAGCAGCUUCUAGAGAGGAUUCUCGUGACAACUUCUUAUUUUGUCCAGAUUCAAGGGACACUCUGAAAGAAGAAGGGCUUUUGCGCUUCAAAGAACAUUGGGUUAAUGGUGAACCAGUUAUUGUCAGAAAUGUGCUUGAACAGGCAAAUGGAUUGAGCUGGGAGCCAAUGGUCAUGUGGCGUGCUUUAAGUGAAAAUAUGGAUAUAGCUAGUACCUCACAGUUUUCAAAAGUAAAGACCAUCGAUUGCCUGGCGGGUUGUGAGGUGAGGUUCUCUUACCAGUUAUUACUCUAUGCACUCUUUUAACUUUCUUGCAAAAAAAUAAAUUAUUUGGCAUUGCAUUUGUUUGUAUAUCUAUAAGUUCCUUUUCAAAUCUACUUGUUUUAUAGUGUGGUACAUCAAUCUGAUUUCUUAUUCGGGUUAACUUUUAUAUUUUUAUUCCAUAUAUUUUCACACUUCAUUCAUUUGGCACAAUCUUGUUCCUGCCUGGACCUGUGGCUUCCAGGAGUUUGGUUUAAAAGUCUUCUGUCUCCCUCCCACAAACAUUUUUCUCAAGUUUUUUCUUUUCUCUUUUGACUUGGUUUUCCCUACCCAUGCACUUCUAAUGCUGAUUUGUGAACUUUUUCAGGUGGAAAUCAAUACUCGUGAAUUUUUUGAAGGAUACACUGAAGGGAGAAUGUAUAGUAAUUUAUGGCCAGAGAUGCUUAAGCUGAAGGAUUGGCCCCCUUCUGAUAAGUUUGAGGACCUUUUGCCCCGCCAUUGUGAUGAAUUUAUCAGUGCCUUGCCAUUUCAAGAGUACACGGAUCCUAGAUCUGGUAUUCUCAACCUUGCUGUUAAGUUGCCACCAGGUGUUUUGAAACCAGACAUGGGCCCAAAAACAUAUAUUGCUUAUGGGCUUAUGGAAGAGCUUGGAAGAGGGGACUCUGUAACUAAACUUCAUUGCGACAUGUCCGAUGCAGUAUGACUUUAAACUAUUACUAUCUUUUUAUUUAUUCUUUCUCAUACUGUAAUGUCUUUCCCUGGAUAUCGGUUCACUUUGCAGCGACCCAAAAAAAUAGGUUUAUGCUGAUAUUUUGACACGUUAUUUCAAUUUGUGUAGGUGAAUAUUUUGACACACACAUCAGAAGUACAGCUAAGUGAUGAGCAGCAAUCUGCAAUUUCAAGGUUGAACAAAUUACAUAGGGCCCAAGAUGAAAGAGAGCUUAUGGAUUGGAUGAAUUCUCUCAAGGAUGGUGGACAACCUGGUCAACAGACACAGGAUAGAGAAGCCCUAGAAAACACUCUCUCUCCUGAAAUUAACGUAGAAUUGAAAGUACCAGAAGAUGAAGAUGAAGAUGAAGAUGAGUUAGAUGGGCCCACUACAUCCGGUUCUUCCUCCACCGAAGUGGCAGAGGAAACUGGUGGUGCUUUGUGGGACAUCUUCCGGAGAGAGGAUGUUCCUAAAUUAGAGGCAUACCUUAUGAAACAUUAUAAGGAAUUUAGGCACACCUAUUGUUCACUAGUUGAACGGGUAUGUAUCUAUCCUCAGUUUUUGUCUAGCCAAAUUGUGCUUAAAAGGGUGCUGUAUGUAUUUAUUUAUUUUAAUGUCCUUAUUUUUGUGUGUUCAGGUCAUUCAUCCAAUUCAUGACCAAUCCUUUUAUUUAACAUUGGAGCACAAAAAGAAGCUGAAGGAGGAAUUUGGUGUUGAACCAUGGACGUUUCUACAAAAACUUGGAGAGGCAGUAUUUAUUCCAGCCGGAUGUCCACACCAAGUCAGGAAUCUCAAGGUCCUAUAUCAUUAGUUAUCUUCACGAUUCCUCUUUCCAAAGAUUUUGUCUUGUUUAAUAGUUCCUCUAAAAUAUUAUGUUUUCAUCCUGCAGUCUUGUACAAAAGUAGCAGCCGACUUCGUGUCUCCUGAAAACGUCCACGAGUGCCUCCGUUUGACCGAGGAGUUCAGACAACUUCCGAAGAACCAUAGAGCUAGAGAAGACAAACUUGAGGUAACUACUCUGUUUAACUGUAAGCAAUUUUGUUUCACUUUAUUUCUUCUCCUUAACUUGUUUGGUCAUUCAUCUUCUUGGUGGAACAGAUAAAGAAAAUGAUACUUUAUGCAGUCGACGAAGCCCUUAAAGAUUUGGAAGCCUUAGUAUCAACUCAAGUUUGAGCGUUAGGAGCUAACUCCCCCAACCUGACAACUAUGCAAUUGUAUUUUCUCAUAAUACUGAUGUUGGCUUAUGUAAUUUUUUGCUCAGCAACAUUUUUGUAAAGUCGAAAAGUUCGUUGGGGUUCUCUUUGCAGUCCAAAUAAAUUGAAGCCAAUUAUACUUGAUUUAAGGCCAACAUCUUUACCUUGGAUGAACCCAUUGUUAUUGUCACGGUAUAAAUGUUUCCAUUAGAUGUUUGAGCUUAAAGGCAGAAGUAGUAGACCAACUAGUGUUAGAUUCCUAGCAUGAACGAUAAAAUCAAAGGUAGAAUGAAAUGAAACUAAGCUAAUAUCUACUCAACGAAAUUAAGCAAAACAUAUGUAUGCAUUGUGAGUUAAGGAAAAAGAACUUUUAGUGUUUCGUGAGAACCAUAUUAAGUGUUUUUUUGUUUUUGUUUUUGUUUUUUUUUUCGGCACUUAUUUUGCUCAGUAUUCCAAAAUUAUGUCUUGAUUGAAGAACACCUAAUGAAGUUCAACUCCAAUGAUUCGAUGAUUCGAAUCGUCUAUUUUUAAGUGGAUCAUUUCUACAAAAUAAAUAAAUAAAUUAGACCUACCAAGGAAAAUAGAAUAACAUGGUGCUUCCUAGAAACAUUAAAGUUACCACAUUUUUAAAUACAAACGAUAGUCUAAGCUAUAAGGGAAAAAUUAAACUACAAUAUAUAGUGGGUCUUACAAAGACCUCGCUCAAAUGAAACCACAUUUUCAUCUGCAAACGUUUCUUCAUAGACCUUAUUUUUCCAUGAAGACUAAAGUGCCUUUUGGGUUAAAUGGUCUUUUAACCCUGUAGAAAGCACUUCUAUAUAUUUUUACCAAAAACUACAAAAAUAAAUGAGUUUUUUUAAUUAAUCAAAAAUACUUUGGGCUAAUAUCACUAUCAAAUGUAAGCACAUCUAAGGGCUCGUUUGUGAGUGAUUCUAGAUAGACCAGAAUUAUUUCUGGGAAGAAGCACCCAGUGGCGGAGCCAGGAUUUCACAUUAGAGAAGGAAGGCCCUCCAUAAAAUAAAACCUGUCUCUCUUCAUAAUUAUCAUGAAUUUCAUAUUUUAAAUUGGUUAAAUACUAAUUUCAUCAUCUACACUAUUAAAGACUUAAAAAUUAGUAAUUUAUAUUCCAACAUAAAAUAAAUAGGAAAAAAAAAAAGAAUUCAUAAACCGCAAUAUUUAGGGACCCAACUCAUACAUAAAAAAUGAGGAAAAUAAAACAAGAAGAAAAAGAGAAAGAAACAUUAAAACUUUAGGAGUUUUUAGUGCAAAUAUCAUAAACUAACCUACAAGAUGUGAGGGAGAUCAAGAAAUUUUGGUUAAUUUGUGGACAAAAAGAACCUAAUAUAUUAUUUUAUUUUAAGGUAAAUAUCCUAAAACUAAUCUAAUAUAUUAUAAUAUCAUAUAUCAUAUAUCAUAUAUAAUAUACAAAUAGAAGAGAUAAAAAUGGAGUGGGCUUUGGGACCACACUGGUCCCAUGCUGGCUCCACCUUGGAAGCACCUUCCAGAUGCUUCUCCAAAAAAUCACUAAAAGUGAUUAUUUGGAUAAAUGAUUCUCCAUAAAAGUGAUUGUUGGCAUAUCCAUAGGGCUUGUUUCGGAGUGAUUCUAAAUUUACUAGAACCACUUUUGAGGAGAAGCAUCUCCCAUGUGCUUCUUCAUAGAAUCACUUUGAGUGAUUUUAAGUGAUUAUGGAGAGAAACACAUUUCAUGUGCUUCUCCAUAAAACCACUUAAAACCACUUAAAGUGAUUAUACGGAGAAGUAAUUCUCCAUAGAAGUGAUUAUUGGCCUAUUCAGAAUCACUCCCAAACCAGCCCAUAAUCACUCUCAAACCAGCCCUAAGUUGUUAAUGAAAAAUCUUAUGCAAGUGCUUCUACAUGAAGUACUUUUGCUCAUAAGCACCUCUCCAAAAAGCGAUUUAUGACUCGCAAGAAAUUUUGAAUUGUUCUACCAAAUGCAGUCAGAAUUUAUCAGGAAGCGCUUUCAGCCAUUGCAAAAACACUCUCAAACAUGACCUAAGUAAAAUAUUAUGUCUUAUCAUUUACAAAUAAAAAGGACAAACUCAAUCAUAUAUUUUCCAAAUUUUCUCAAAACUUUUAAAAACAACUUGCAUGCAUCACACACAUAAACACCUACACAUCUAUAAAUUUUUGGAUGCACACCAGUAUAUACCUUAAUAUGGCACAAAUCAUGAUAUUAGGGCCCAUCUGAUAACAUGAUUAAUUAUUUUUUUAAAAAAAUAUAUAUUAUUUGCAUAUAUAUACUUAGCUAAAUUGGUUAGAGCUGAUAUGACUCAUUCUGCACUCGAGUUCGAAUAUCCUUUCACAUAGUUUAUAUUAUAUUAAAAAGUAUAAAAAAAAUACAUAUAUAUUAUUUGAGAUUUUUCUAUUAGAAAAUGGGUUUGAAAAAAGAAAAAUUAAAGUAAAAAUCUCAUUAUUUCUAUCUUCUUCCUUUAUGUUUUAACAUGCAUCAUAAACAACAGAUAAUUAUAAAAUAAUAAAUAACAAAGUUUAAGAGAAAAAUUGCUUCCACAAAAGAAGUUCUCCUAUUGUGCAGGUUCCUUACCCAUAAUUACUAGCAGCCCAUGAAUAGCAACCUUUCUCAAACAAUGAAAACAUCUCUUUAGGCUUUUGGAGAUCUCAGGCGCUCCACAAGCAAUCCACCAUGUUUCAAGGCAAUAAUUGGCAAACUCUUCUAUUAGAAAUCAACCAUGAAUCAUUGUGUGGAGUAUGGUUUUUUGCUCUACAGAUCUUCAUAUCAGUAUGCAUGCCUAAGCAUACCUUGUUUGAAAGCACCAAUUGCUGAAACCAGUCAAGACCAAAAGAUGAAUUGCUUGAGAGCAUUGAAACCUUGAAAUGCCAAGAGAACACAUCUUGAAAGAAGACCAAACAAAAUGGUAGGGUACAAGUCCUUUUUUCUAGUUAGAUCUAGGGUUUCAUAGUCUAUGUGAAAUGACAAAUUUGCCCUUACUUUAGAAUCCAAUUAAAGAAGUUGAAUAAAUCAUGGC